GCGGUGGAUGAUGUGGUUAAUUCGAUGCAACGCGAAAACCUUACCCACCUUUGACAUGGCAGGAAUCCCGAAGAGAUUGGAGUGCUCGAAAGAGAACCUGCACACAGGUGCUGCAUGGCUGUCGUCAGCUCGUGUCGUGAGAUGUUGGGUUAAGUCCCGCAACGAGCGCAACCCUUGCCAUUAGUUGCUACGAAAGGGCACUCUAAUGGGACUGCCGGUGACAAACCGGAGGAAGGUGGGGAUGACGUCAAGUCCUCAUGGCCCUUAUAGGUGGGGCUACACACGUCAUACAAUGGCCGGUACAGAGGGUAGCCAACCCGCGAGGGGGAGCCAAUCCCACAAAGCCGGUCGUAGUCCGGAUUGCAGUCUGCAACUCGACUGCGUGAAGUCGGAAUCGCUAGUAAUCGCGGAUCAGCAUGUCGCGGUGAAUACGUUCCCGGGUCUU
This 445-nucleotide ribosomal RNA is filed under the name uncultured Allobrachymonas sp. RNAcentral describes it as "bacterial SSU rRNA". It matches the Rfam family "Bacterial small subunit ribosomal RNA", at positions 929 to 1382 of the family's 1533-position model. Lineage: Bacteria; Pseudomonadati; Pseudomonadota; Betaproteobacteria; Burkholderiales; Comamonadaceae. The record is from RNAcentral.